RNAcentral lists this ribosomal RNA (497 nucleotides) under uncultured bacterium. RNAcentral describes it as "partial 16S ribosomal RNA". It matches the Rfam family "Bacterial small subunit ribosomal RNA", at positions 28 to 507 of the family's 1533-position model. The record is from RNAcentral.
GAUGAACGCUGGCGGCGUGCCUAAUACAUGCAAGUCGAGCGAACGGACGAGAAGCUUGCUUCUCUGAUGUUAGCGGCGGACGGGUGAGUAACACGUGGAUAACCUACCUAUAAGACUGGGAUAACUUCGGGAGACCGUAGCUAAUACCGGAUAAUAUUUUGAACCGCAUGGUUCAAAAGUGAAGGACGGUCUUGCUGUCACUUAUAGAUGGAUCCGCGCUGCAUUAGCUAGUUGGUAAGGUAACGGCUUACCAAGGCAACGACGCAUAGCCGACCUGAGAGGGUGAUCGGCCACACUGGAACUGAGACACGGUCCAGACUCCUACGGGAGGCAGCAGUAGGGAAUCUUCCGCAAUGGGCGAAAGCCUGACGGAGCAACGCCGCGUGAGUGAUGAAGGUCUUCGGAUCGUAAAACUCUGUUAUUAGGGAAGAACAUAUGUGUAAGUAACUGUGCACAUCUUGACGGUACCUAAUCAGAAAGCCACGGCUAACUACGUG